GUGGGCUCUGGGGAUAGAGAGGCCAGUGUGGCUGGGGAGUAAGGAGCAUGAACUGAAAGGAACUGAGCCUGUCACGUAGAUGGGCCAAGAAUGCUGCAGAAGCUCUGGCUCACUCCUGGUGACAAGCUUUGGAAGAGCAGACACUACUUGGUCCUUCCCCAAGCUGUGAACAAAAUAAUACAAACUCCUCUUCUGGGAUUGAACUCUUGCUGUAUGCCAGGCCCCAAUUUCUUGGCAGAGAAUCUAGGGACUCUCACUGGCUCAAAGAAUGGUAGAUAUCAUUAACCCCAUUUUCCAGAGCAGCAAAAAUGAGAGAGAGAGACCCCAAGAAGCCACUGCUGGCCUUGAACUGAGCCAGAUCUCUUUGGUGCCAGACCCUGGCUGGCUCUGACCACAUUGUCCUAAAAUUCUUUGUUUACAGCUCUCUUUCCUCUGCUGCAGCCAGCCACUCGGUCUCAUUCAUGGUUUUAUUUUACUUUCAAGGUCCCUUGUGUCCAAACCUGCCCAAGGAGCAACGGAAUGAAUGAACCUUCUGGGGGCGGGCUCUCCCCUCCCGCCCGCCUCUCAGGCAUCUCCAGUUUGGAUCUGGAAUUGGGAGGGGGCUGGACAGGAAUUCCAAGCCUCCAGAGGGUCAGGAGUAGAGGGGAGGGGGAACCGGGAGAAAGCGAAAGUGAAGGGAGCUGGGAGCCCCUGUGUGGAGGCGCAGACAGGGAAGGAAAUCUCCCGGCCCGUUUCUGGACUAGAUUAGGUGCUGGGGAAACACAGUCCUUGGAGCUGGAAGAUGUCUUCCAGAAAACCAGUCAAGUGGAUGCUGCUUUGACCCCUUCUGGGAUUACACUGCGAAGCAGAUAUGCGUGACUCCGGGACCCCAGUGGCCACCAUCUGCUCAGUUAUUUCCCCCAGAUUCUCUACAGAGGAGAACGCCCAGACUUCAGU
This is a long non-coding RNA of Mus musculus (house mouse), 936 nucleotides long. RefSeq annotates it as predicted gene, 31535. NCBI's taxonomy places the organism in Eukaryota, Metazoa, Chordata, Mammalia, Rodentia, Muridae. The transcript is spliced from 3 exons. The record is from RefSeq and is a predicted model, not a curated record.